UACGGGGGGGGCAAGCGUUGUUCGGAAUUACUGGGCGUAAAGGGCGCGUAGGCGGUGCUCUAAGUCGGAUGUGAAAACUCUGGGCUCAACCCAGAGCCUGCAUCCGAAACUGGAGUUCUAGAGUUCUGGAGGGGGUAGCGGAAUUCCUGGUGUAGCGGCGAAAUGCGUAGAUAUCAGGAGGAACACCGGUGGCGAAGGCGGCUACCUGGACAGAAACUGACGCUGAGGCGCGAAAGCUAGGGGAGCAAACAGG
Molecule: ribosomal RNA, 253 nt
Filed under: uncultured bacterium
Lineage: Bacteria
Description: partial 16S ribosomal RNA
Rfam family: Bacterial small subunit ribosomal RNA
Source: RNAcentral